This 11359-nucleotide long non-coding RNA is filed under the name Lactuca sativa (garden lettuce). RNAcentral describes it as "long non-coding RNA (LSAT_LNC005885)". The record is from RNAcentral. Lineage: Eukaryota; Viridiplantae; Streptophyta; Magnoliopsida; Asterales; Asteraceae.
UCCAUUUGUUAAAAUUUCCAAAAGAAGGGGCACUGUUUGCGAAGGUGCCAAUUUUACCUGAAAGAUCAUAAGGCUGGUAAAGUCAAUAAGUUUGACUCUACUUCAGGUAAAGUCUACUAUCUAACUGUAUUAAGUUUCUUUUCUGAGACUCUUAUUACAUGAUGUGACUGGGUCACAUGUUGAUGUUUUAAGAAUCAAAGGAAAAGUAAAGGAAACUUAAAGAAAGAUUAUGUUGAAUCUAACCGCGAAGAUGGAUUUCUAUCGCUUUGUUGAAGAUCAGAUUCUUGAGCUACUUCUUAGGAGUUAUGAUAGAUUGCUAGGAAACAUGUAAUAGCAUAGUUUUCAUUUCAAGUUACAUUGUAAGGAAAAAGUUUUUUCUGCAUUUUAAAAUAAAUAAAAGUUUGUUUUACUUUAUUUUUAUCUCCUUACAAUGGCAUUCAUGAAAACUUGAUGUUUGUAUGUUUAUAGCAAUAUUGGAAAUAUAAAUUUGAUUCGUUCAUUCGUUGUAGUGUCUAAAUUUACCAAAUAAGGAAAGAUUCUCAUCACCCAAGUUUCAAUUGAACCAAAACUUGGAAUCAUACAAGGUGUUAAGUGUGAUGUAUGAGAAUGUUCAACUUUGGAAAAAUUAAGACUAGUUCCGUGUUAACAUGCAUAUGUGACUCAAGAGAAGGACUAAGGGAUCAAGUACACAUUCUUGUGCACUAGAAAAAGUUCACCACAAAGAUGGAUAAGACUAUUUGUCAUGAUUUACUAAGGUUUAGUAAAUAUGAUUAUACUUACAAGCUUAAGUAUAAUUCUGAGACAUUGGAAAAUUUUCAAUGUAUGACAGAACGAAUAAGAAGAAUCAAAUUAGGCAGAAGGAUAAAAGUUUCUCAAAUCUGAAAAGAUGGGAGAGUACUUAAGUAUCAUGUUUUAAGGUCAUCUUAAUGAUUUUGAGACCUUANGACAAUUCAUCCUCUAAGUGCAUUAUGAUAGUUAAGAAGAGGACUUAUGAAUUGUUGAAGUGGUUAAAUCAAGAAGAUGAUUCAUAAUUCAUUCCAAAGACAAUUCUUAGAGUUAUACUCUAAGAUUGUAACUUGAGUGACAUGUCUUAAAAGAUGUUUAAAAACACCUGUCAAAUGUAAGAGUAAAAGUUUUCUACUCUUGUACAUUUGAAAUUGGUAAUUUGUGAUGUUUUGGAUAAAACAAAGAUCAACUAAGGCCAAUUGUGUUAAGUGUUUGUCUUGAUUAGAAUCCACACUAUCUCUUGAAUAUUUGGCAAGAAAGUCUUAUAGGUCAAGGAGACAGUGGGAGUCUAAGAGAUCCUAAAAGGGUUUCAAGAAGUAAUCAAGAGUAAAAACCUAUAUUUCAUCACUAGCACACAACUAGAGGUUUAUAACCUAUCGUAUUGACAUUUCUGUGCCCAUUCCAGUUAUGUUGGCUAUACAUUUGAGUUCUACAUGUUCUCAAUUGUUUGCAUAGCUACUUGGAAGCAAUGGCAGGCCCUUGAGCCGCCAGGUGGCAAGAAGUUAAGAUUGCACAAGUUCAAUCCAUAUGAGUUUGGAUUUGUCAUUAUCCUUGUCUUGUGACUAUGGUUUUNUGCAAAAUUCACGUGGAUAAGAACACAUACACCAUAAAAUCUAAGUGUCAUAAGGUUUCUCUCCGAUUCAUGAAAAUGAUGGUGAGGAAAUUCUUUCAAUAAGUAGAUAGAAAUUGUAAUAUUUGCAGUUCUCAAAGUCGUUAGUGGAGUGUGCGUGGUUAACCGGCACACUAACAUUGACUUAUGAGAAAUGGAAAAAGGUCUAAACAAUUGAGAUUAUGAUUAUGGCAUCCCUUUUCAUAGUUCUGAAAUUGUUAAGACACACCUGUGAGCUAUCUAAGAUAAGGUGUAUAAUUUUGAUAAAGCCUUAUCAAAGCAAUCUAGUUUCAGAAAUCUGAACUUUGGUAAGAAUGUCAAUAAAGUAUUGACUUCUAGAGGUCCAACUGUUUUCUGGAUACAUGUCAAAGCUAGUGGGAGCAUAAGUGUUAUGCUAAUAAUCAUCAUGUUAGUGGGAGCAUGAUAAUUAUGAUAAGAAUUGCAAGUUAGCAAUGUUAAUUAUAGAAAAGAAAAGUUUCAAUUCGUGAGGUUACAGGGGUUGAAAAAGUUGUUUUGCUAUAAUUAAGGGAGAGGAAAUUAUACUUCAUUUCAAUUCUAAAAAGCUUAGAUUGAGUUUAUAAUCAUUCUAAAGAGCUUAUAUUGAGAUUUUAAUCACCUUUAGUCAAGAAUAUAUAUAUGAAUUUCAUGUUGGAUUGGUUCAACUUAAGAAAAUUCUAUAUAUUGCGUUCUCAAAAUUCGAUUAUGAUUACGGCAUCCCUUUUCAUAGUCAAAUUUUGAGAAUAUGGCAAACAAAAAUUAUUAUGGCAAAAGACUGGUCUAGAACCAUGUCUUUAUGAGAAACAUCAUGAAUUGUGUCCUAUUUACUUUGUGUACAAGAUCAAUUACAUGUGCUAUAAUAUUUAUCAUUUCUGAGUUUUCCAAAUGCCUUGGGGCGUUAAGGAGGAAAAUGUCGAGAAUUGGAUAUGACUAAAUUGAUUAAGCAAUUGUCGAGGACAAUCUAAGGUUUACCAAAGAUUGGUUGCUCAAGGACAGUUGGAAGUAUACUGUUAAUAUUGGAAGGACCAUAUUAACAUAGUGUGAAAAAAAAAGGCAACUCUUGUUCAGAAGUGGUAGUCAAAAUGGGAAUAUAGAGUUGUCUUCAUAGGUGGAAGCAAUCUGUGUAAGGUUAAAGGAACUUAAUGCAAGAAGCAUGUUCAAAGCAAGUCGCUUUGAAUCUGAUACAUCGUUUCCAUGGAAAGCUCUCCAUUGGGAUACUCUGUAAUGAUUGUUGCCAAGCCUUUGUGGCCUUGUGCAUAAUCAUUACAAGAGGAACAGUGCAUAUAAGUUUAAAAUCUAAACAGAAUUCGAUAAAUGAUAGGAAUUUGGAAUUCUUACAUUUAAGACAAGGAUUUAAGAGUAUGAAAAGAGAAUCAUUGAAAUUAUGUUCAAUUGAUCUAGUUCACAAAGAAAAGGAUCAUAGAGUUCAUACUUGGUGUAUGGAAAAGCUAUUGUUUAGAAAACAUAGUGUACAUGCUUGGAGCAUGGGACACCUAGUGUUUUAAUUCAAUUAUAAAGUUGAUAAAACCGAAACAAUGAAUAAUAAGUAGUCAGUAUGGUGACAAAUAGAAAGGGUUUUAUUUAUAUUCAUACCAUAUUAGAUUCAUUUAUUCUUGUGUUUCACUUUGCAUGUUUUGACUUCCAUAAUAACUAGGUUAUUCUUUCGGAAUGACUAAGUUAUUCAAACCAUCCACAGUCGGUCAUAUGUUGGAAGUAGAUAUGAAUCAAGACUGUCAUGGGUUGGCUUGUAGAGGUCCAAGUUGGUGGACAAAGUUGUGCUACAACACUCAUGAGUGCUCAUAAGUUCUGAGUAUUGGAUUCAACACGCGCUCAUUUGAAUCAGUUCAUGCAUUUUAUCAUGAGUGAUCAUGAGACGAUAGUAUCUUAUAUUCUUCAAACCUAGAGAUACGAGUUGUCACUAUGAGUUGGUUGUACAUUGAUUGCACAAAACCGCAUUCGGUAACUCGAUGUUAUAAAACGUGUCUUUGUGUAUGAUUCAACAAGUAGUUGAACAAGCCAUAUGAUUCGAAGUUUAUCCAUUCCUUUUACCUUCGGGAUAAAAGCGAUAUCUGUGGGCCCCUCGAUGAUUUGAUGAUGACAAAUGGAAGUGCUCGGCCGGGCCAGGACUGAUUUGAUUUGUUCAAUUAGUCAGUCGUCAUAAAUCGGAAAUCGGGAAACAACAAAUGGACAGAGAGAAUGAUUAUAAUCCAUGUCUCAGUCCAUAUGAUAUCUAGAAUGGAGGAAUAUAUGAUCCCUUAUCUAAUGGACAAGUCAUUGACAAAGGUCAGAGUUCAUCUACAAGGUCAGAGUUCGACAGAAGCUUUUGAGAGCUACGAUUGCCAGUUGGUUCCUGAAGUCAUACGCAAUAAUAGUUUUAGACUUAUCCAAGUGGGAGACUGUUGGAUUAAUGUCUAAGUCCAUAACUAUAAUUGGUAAGACUUGACCCGACCCGGCAUGGUCCAUUUGGGUUGCAUAGCAUCAUGCACUUGGAUAGACUAUAAUGAGAGAAAUAAGACACUUAUGGUUAUUAAUAUAUUAUAAGUUCUAGUAUAUUAAUAAUAAGAAUAAUAAGAUUAUUUAAUUAGUAUUGAUCAAGAAUUAAUCUAGGAUUAAUUAAGUGAUCAAAAGAAGACUAAUUAAAUAUAUGGGUUGAUUGUGUAAAUCAUCCAUACUUGUAUAGUGGGCUAAUGCUCCAUGGAUAAUCAAGUUGGGCUAAAACCCAUAGGAUGGUCCAUGGAUGCUCCAUGGUGUAUUUGUACCCAUGGAUCNNNNNNNNNNNNNNNNNNNNNNNNNNNNNNNNNNNNNNNNNNNNNNNNNNNNNNNNNNNNNNNNNNNNNNNNNNNNNNNNNNNNNNNNNNNNNNNNNNNNNNNNNNNNNNNNNNNNNNNNNNNNNNNNNNNNNNNNNNNNNNNNNNNNNNNNNNNNNNNNNNNNNNNNNNNNNNNNNNNNNNNNNGCUAGUGGCUAGUAUGGAUACACUAAAGAGGGAAAUAACCAAUUUCAUAAGUGUGAGCCAAGUAUCCAUAUUCUCUAAAGUCUUCCAAGGUGUUUUGGUGAUUUGUGAUUCCACUUGAGGCUUCCACACUAUUGGGGCUAAUCUCUUAAAGUUCAAGACUUCAAGCUUCAUUAAAAGGUAUGUAUUCUAACUUGUUAUAUUACCCAAGUAUCAAGGAUUGUAUGCUAGAUAGGGUAAUACCUUGGAAUAUUCAUAUUUGCAUGUAUAAUAGAGAAAACAUAGAUCCAAGGUAUUUAGGGUUGCAUGUACACUUAGGAGUGUUAGAAUGCUCAAAACCCAACAUGUGGAACCUAUAGAACCGCCACUAGGGAUGCUAACCGCUUCUAUGUGAGUUUUACUAAUGAUUUUAGUAGAUAUGGAUAUGUCUACUUAAUCAACCAUAAGUCAGAAACCUUUGAAAAGUUCAAUGAGUUUAAACAGGAAGUGGAGAAUCAGUUGGGCAGGUACAUUAAGAUGCUUCUAUCCGAUCGAGGUGGUGAGUAUCUUAGUACAGAGUUCCUUGACUAUCUUAAGGAAUGUGGAAUUGUCUCACAUGGUGUGGAUGAGAUGUGCAAUCGAACCUUGUUGGACAUGGUUCGCUCGAUGAUGAGUCGAGCUUCGCUACCAAUCUCAUUUCAGGGGUAUGCCUUAGAGACUGUUGCCCAUAUCCUUAAUCUAGUCCCUACCAAAAAGGUUGCCAAAACACCUCACGACAUGUGGACUGGAUAAGUUCCCAAUCUAUACCACAUCAAGUUUUGGGGUUGCGAGGCUUUCAUGAGGCGCGAGUCUCAUGAUAAGCUCGAACCUCGAAGUGAGAGGUGUAUUUUCAUCGGCUACCCACGGAAAUCAUGUGGUUACCUCUUCUACAAACCUAGUGAUAAUGUGGUCUUUGUAGCAAGGAGGGGAGUCUUUCGCGAGAGAGAAUUCAUAAGCCAAGGAAACAGUGGGAGGAAAAUUGACCUUGAAGAAAUUAAAGAGUCAAGUGGUGAAGGAACCUCAAACCCUAGCAAUCAACCUGAGGAAGAAACUCAUGUUGAUCCAACAGAUGAGUCUGUACCUCUGAGGCAUUCCACGAGAGUUAGGAAUGCACCUGAGCAUUACUAUGGUUUCCAUAUUACUACAGAAGGUGAUACACUCAUCAGUGAUAGAACACUGUUAAGUCUGGAUGAGUCUAACAGCUACUCGGAAGCCAUGGAAGGCCCCGAGGCUGCCAAAUGGAAAGAGGCUAUGGACAGCGAGAUACAGUCCAUGUAUGACAAUCAAGUUUGGAACUUGGUUGAAAAUGUACCAGGUCGUAAGACAGUCAGGUGCAAAUGGAUCUUUAAGAAGAAGACCGACAUUGAUGGUAAUGUACACACUUAUAAGGCGCGAAUGGUUGCAAAGAGCUUUUCUCAAACUCUGGGAGUUGAUUAUGAUGAGACAUUUUCUCCAGUAGCAAAGAUUAAGUAUAUCAGGGUUAUGCUAGCCAUUGUUGCAUUUCAUGACUAUGAAAUAUGGCAAAUGGAUGUCAAAACUGCUUUCCUUAAUGGGAAGUUGGCUCAGGAUGUUUACAUGAGACAACCAAAGGGUUUUUUCAGCGCAGAGUACCCUAAUAGAGUUUGUAAGCCUAAGAAAUCCAUCUAUGGAUUGAAACAAGCACCUCGCAGAUGGAAUCUUUGUUUCGAUGAGAAAGUCAAAGAGUUUGGCUUUUCAAGGAGUGAAGAUGAAUCUUAUGUAUAUGUCAAGGCUAGUGGGAGUAUAGUUAGAUUUUUGGUACUACAUGUGGAUGACAUACUACUUAUAGGAAAUGACAUCCCAACUCUGCAGGAAGUGAAAUCCUGGCUUGGGAAGUGUUUUGCUAUGAAGGACCUUGGAGAAGCUACCUAUAUCCUAAGGAUAAGGUUUUUGAGAGACAGGAGUAAAAGACUAAUUGGUCUUAGUCAUAGUACCUACUUGGAGAAGGUGUUGAAUAGGUUCAACAUGCAAAAUUUUAAGAAAGGAGAGUUACCGAUCCAAAGUAACGCCAAAUUGAGUAAGACUCAGAGCCCAAGUAUAGAGGCUGAGAUAGCAGAAAUGAGUCGAGUACCGUGUGCUUUCGCUGUAGGCUCGAUCAUGUAUGCUAUGACUUGUACUCGUCCUGAUGUAGCCUUUGCGUUGAGCAUGGUCAGUGGAUAUCAGGGGAACCCUGGCAAGGCUCACUGGACUGCGGUAAAGAACAUUCUCAAGUACCUGCAGAGGACUAAGGAUUGGGUCCUUACUCUCGGUGGGAGUGAUGACUUGAGAGUAGUAGGGUAUAGUGAUGCUAGAUUCCAGACUGAUAGGGAUAAUUUAUGCUCUCAGUCAGGCUGGGUCUUUACCUUAAACGGAGGAGCAAUUUCUGGGAAAAGUUCCAAGUAGGAGACAGUGGCUGAUUCAAUUUGAGAAUCAGAGUAUAUAGCGGUAAGCGAGUCAGCAAAGGAGGCUAUAUGGCUAAAGAAAUUCAUUGGAGAUCUUGGAGUUGUACCACCUAUAAAGGAGCCUAUAGAGAUUUUAUGUGAUAGUGAAAGUGCAGUUGCCUUAGCCAAGGAACCAAGGGAUCAUGGGAGAUCCAGACACAUCGACAGAAAAUACUAUUUUAUCAGACAUCGAGUAGAAGAAGGACUUCUCAUGGCAAAGAGGGUAUCAUCGGAUGAGAACCCAGCAGAUCCCCUCACGAAGGGACUGGGUAGGGUUAAGCAUCUCCAGCAUCUGAGGCGCAUAGGGCUAAAGGAUGAUAUUAGUUUUAGUAAUUAGAUAGUUUUGAAAUGUGUAAAGUGUAAUUGACAUUUGAUGAUGAAAAAAAGUUGUUGUUUAUUUAUGAGUAAAGUGUUGCUAUCUUUUGUCAAUCGUUUACUAUCGUUUCAUUUUGCAUGUUUUGACUUGCAGAAUAAUUAUGUUAUGGUAUUUCAUAUUAUUCAAAUUUUUCCACACUCGGUCGUAUGUUAAAAGUUGAUAUGAAUCAAGAUUCAAGACUGUCAUGAGUUGGCUUGUAGAUGACUAAGAUGUUAGACAUAGCAAGAGUUGCUACAACACUCAUGAGUGCUCAUAAGUCAUGAGUAUUGGAUUCAACCAACGCUCACUUGUAUCACUGCAUGGAAUUUAUCUCGAGUGAUCGUGAGACAGUAAUAUCAUAUAAGUCUUCAAACCUAGAGAUAUGAGUUGUUGAUUAUGAGUUGGUUAUACAUUGAUUGUACGAAAACGCAUUGGUAACUCGAUGUUAUAAUACGUGCCUUUGUGUAUGAUUCAACAAGUAGUAGAACAAGCAUAUGAGUCGAAAUUUAUCUGUUCCUUCUUGGAUUAGAAGCGAUAUCUGGGCCCCUCGAUGAUUUUGUGUUGACCUUGUUGGAUUAGGUGUCUAAGUUCAUAACUAUUUUUGGGAUGUACUUGAACCGGUUGGCAUGGUCCAUUUGGGUUGCAUGGCAUCAUGCAUUUGGAUAGACUAAAAUGAGAGAAAUAACACUUAAGGUUUAAUAAUAUAUUAUAAGUUCUAAUAUAUUAAUAAUAUUAUUUGAUUAGUAUUGAUCAAGAAUUAAUUUGGAAUUAAUUAAGUGAUCAAAAGAAGACUAAUUAAAUAUAUGGGUUGAUUGUGUAAAUCACCCAUUACUUGUAUAGUGGGCUAAUGCUCCAUGGAUUAUCAAGUUGGGCUAAAACCCAUAGAAUGCUCCAUGGAUGGUCCAUGGUGUCUUUGAACCCAUGGAUCAUGGAAAUGAAGAGUCACGUCAAGUUAGGGUCCCUACUUAUGACACACUAUAAAAGGAAUAUGUGAGCAAGAAAAAUCGGGACUAGUGAGAAUAAGAGGGCAUAGCCGAUUUUAGAAGUGUUACAUUUCGUUGAAGGUUAUUCCAAGUGUAUUUGGUGUUGUAUGAGACAUUUGAGGCAUCACACUUGAGGUGCUAGGCUCACAAGGUUAUCAAGGAAUUCAAGCAACUAAAGGUAUGUAUUUCUUACUAUCUUUUAUUUUUAAAAGUUCCCCAUGUAUACUAGAUAGGUUAUGAAACUUGGAAAAACAAAUUUGCAUGUAUCAUAGAUAAAACAUGGAUCCUAGGUUUCUAGGGUUGCAUGUACACCAUAGGAGUGUUAGAGUGCUCAAAACCCAACAGUGGUAUCAGAGCCUAGGCUUGUUUUCUUGAUAUUUGAUGCAAACUUGCUGAAAAACUCGAAAAUCGACUGUCUGGACAGAGGACUCGCCGAGUCCAUGGGGGACUCAACGAGUCCAUGCCUAUAUUCAAGCAAAUCGACGAGUCAGUUCAUGCACUCGACGAGUUGGCUUGUCAGACUACAGUUUUUCGACUUUUGCUGCUGGAAAUGGACUAGAAAUAUUACCCUAACCUGUUUGGUCUUAUAAAACUUGUUUUAGAUGGUGUAAUGGUUAUGUUAAUCCAUUUUCAAUAGAUAUUAUCAAAUUUUCAAGUUUUAUAUGGUUAAUUUUAUGAUUCUUGAAAUUGUUGAUAUGUAUGUUCAUGAACUUAUGAUUUUAGAAGAUCAUAGGAAUUAUUUGUAGCUUGCUUGUUAGUUUAAUUCUUGAUCAUUAUGUGUUUUAAUGGAAUCCAUAAUUUGUCCUCAAGUUAUGGAUUACUAAAAGUCAUUCUUUUAAAGUCCAUUAUGAAACACAUAGGUUACAUACAAUGAAAAGUCACUCAUUUUAAUAAAUCAUUUAACUCAUAAGUUAUGAAAGAUGAAAAGUUUUGAAAGUUACAAAACUUGCCCUCAAGUUUUGGUACAUGUAAAGUCUCUUUAAAAACUUUAGUUCCAACCCCUAGAAUUUUAAAAGUUAAAAUUCAACCCAUAUAUUUUAUAAUAUUAUAAGUUUAAUAAUAAUUACAUAUGUAUAAGAAAAAGUCAUUUACUGUUAGUAGGCCUCAUUCACGAAGCCAGUCUAUAAGGGGAGUAUAUGGUUGUUGCCUAUAAAAUGGCAGCUUAAUGGGUGUCCACUCUCACCCACCGCUUCCUUGAUCGGUGGAGGGUCGUUAGCCGAACGGGUAAGACAAGGAAUUUAAAUCUUCAUUAAAAGUAUGAUGAAUAUAAAGUAAAUAAAUGUUUUUAUAAAUUCCCAAUCUUAGUUAAUUUAGGAAAAUGUUAAUAUGGUGCUAACCCAUUGAAAUUACACUUUGCACUUUUCUUGAGUCGGUUAGUGGAGUGCGUGUGGUUAACUGGUACACUAGCUGGACUUAACAAGGUAGGCAAAGGGUAACUUAAUGUUUAUCAUAGUAUCGAUGGAGCGCAUGUGGUUAACCGGCACAUCGAUUGAGGGGUAAACAUUAAGGGUACCAAGUAAUUUGCAUGGUUACUUCACACCUUGUUUUGUGGUCCGCGACAUCCCAGUCACAAAUUCUGAAGGGCACACUCGAGAUUGAAACGUGCCAUUGAAAAAGUUCAAUGAAUCUCAUAGAAUAUAGGAGUUUCAAAACCAAUUAAAACCUAAUAAUUUAUUUCGUUUUUCAUGGUGGAAGUUGGUGAAUCGUCAUUCGCCUACCUUCAAAUAUUUUAUAGUUUGGAUUACAGCAUCCCUCUCCCAAGUUAUAAAACUUUUUGUUGGGUCCUAGCCUUAAUAUAUCAUAUUGGGUGUUAUAUUAAGGACUUUAAAUCAACUAUCUUGAAUAUCUCCCAAAAGAUGUUUGGUUUAGACAAUUAUGAUCUUCCCAAAACUCUUGGAAUAAGCUUUCCUAAUGAAGAUGAUUUCCCGUGACUGGAUCAUGGAAAUCAUACUUCAAUUCCUCCACAUCCUCCAAUUAUUUUCCCUAACCCACAAGUUCAAGGUCACUCAAUCCCUAUUGGCAAGCAAGGUCUAUGUGUGAUCACAUCUUGGAGAUGAAGUCACAUAUUGACAAGUCGGGAGAGUUGGGUGUCAAAGUCUUGAGAAAGUUGGUUGUUCAAUAACUUUCUAAGUCACAUAAUGAGUGUCCUUUGGGACUACUAUGUAAAAGACUAUGACAUGACCCUUAUUGAUCUUAUCUAUUUUCUUGGUGCUGCUGAAUCAGAAAUGAUUUGGAGCUCUGGUAAAGCAAAUUUGAUUAGUAGAUCAACUUGCCAAACUACCAUGGACAUUGACAAAUUAUUGACAUUGGAAAUCCAGAAAGCUUUCUCUUCCCAAUGGAAAGGGAUCAGCCAUAGUCAACUCGGUUGACCAGAUGGUAAAGAGAAAGGCUAAGUCUGAGAUAGUCUUGUGUGCCAUUCCCAAAGGGUCCAUAUGGUUCUACUGCAAAAAAGGAAGAGGCAUUGGUUGCAAAGCUGCCCUAACUACAUGAAAGAUCUGAGAGAAGUUCUAGUCAGAAAGUUUGAUUAUGCUUCAGGUAAGUCCACUAUCUAACUCUGUUAAGUUCCUUAUUGAUGAGUCUUAAUACAAAAUGUGACUCGGUUACAUUUUGGUGUUUGUCAGAAUCAAGAAAAUGGAAGGAUACUUAAAGAAAAAGUAUGUUGAAUCUGAUCACGAAGAUGGAUUUCAAUCGCACGGUUCGAAGAUCGGAUUCUUGAGCUACUACUUAGGAGUUAUGAUAGAUUGCUAGGAAAUAUGUAAUAGCAUAGUUUUCAUUUAAAGCUGCAUUGUAAGGAAAAAAGAAUUCCGCAUUUUAUAAAUAAAUAAAAUUUUGAUUUUAUUUUAGUUUAUAUCUCCUUGCAAUGGCUUUUAUGGAAAAUUGAUGUGUAUAUGUUUCUAGAAAUAGUGGAAAUGUGAAUUUGAUUCUUUCAUUUGUGGUAGUGUCUAAAUUUACCAAGUAAGGAAAUAUUCUCAUCACCCAAGGUUUCAAUUGGACCGAAACUUG